CCAGGUUUGUUGCAUCAGCCCAUCAAUUGGUGUGGAAGUUCCAUUAGUAAAUGAUUUAGGAUAUACAAAGGGGAUAUGUGCGCUGCCUACAGAUAUCAGAAGUGGUAAAUAUUAUGAAGGACUUGAUAGAUUACAGCAGAGAGACAGGGACUGGACCCAUGGUUGCCCCUACUGCAUAAAGAUCUUUUUGCAUCUGGAUUACGCAAGAGAUCCAGCGUUCUUCUGUACGAUCUUCUUGGAACUGGCGGAACAUUAUUAGCAAAAGCUGUUGCUACUGAAUGUGUUAACUUGAUAUUGGGAUAAUAACAAGUUCAAAUGGAAGCAUGCUUGGUCAGAUGUGAGAAACUGUAAUGUAACUAAAGAUCUUUUUACAAUUUUGAAAAAAAAAAGCUUUUAGUAGUUGUGUUUUCGCUGCUGUUGCCGCUGCCACCUCUCUUGGUUUGCUUCUGCUGUGGUACUGCUGUUGCUGCUAGGGUACAUAUUUAGUUUCUGCGGUGCUAGUUGACUACUAUCUUUAUUUUAGUUUAAUUUUAAAAAUUUCGACACCUUUUGUAGAGGCAACUACGUGAAUGUGAUCGUGGUUAUUUAUGUCCUAACCUCGUAUAACUUAUUAUUCUUUUUAUAACUUACUUGUUUUGUAAUAGAACCUCUAUCAUUAGAGGUCAUGUGAUCGUGGUU
Non-coding RNA from Arachis ipaensis, 678 nucleotides. The record is from RefSeq and is a predicted model, not a curated record. NCBI's taxonomy places the organism in Eukaryota, Viridiplantae, Streptophyta, Magnoliopsida, Fabales, Fabaceae.